CUACGGGAUGCUGCAGUGAGGAAUAUUGCACAAUGGGGGGAACCCUGAUGCAGCAACGCCGCGUGGAGGAUGACGCAUUUCGGUGUGUAAACUCCUUUUAUAUGUCAAGAAAAUGACGGUAGCAUAUGAAUAAGCACCGGCUAACUCCGUGCCAGCAGCCGCGGUAAUACGGAGGGUGCAAGCGUUACUCGGAAUCACUGGGCGUAAAGGACGCGUAGGCGGGUUGGAAAGUCAGGUGUGAAAUCCUACAGCUUAACUGUAGAACUGCACUUGAAACUACGAGCCUAGAGUAUGGGAGGGGGAGAUGGAAUUAGUGGUGUAGGGGUAAAAUCCGUAGAUAUCACUAGGAAUACCUAAAGCGAAGGCGAUCUCCUGGAACAUAACUGACGCUAAGGCGUGAAAGCGUGGGGAGCAAACAGGAUUAGAUACCCUCGUAGUC
RNAcentral lists this ribosomal RNA (439 nucleotides) under uncultured bacterium. RNAcentral describes it as "partial 16S ribosomal RNA". It matches the Rfam family "Bacterial small subunit ribosomal RNA", at positions 339 to 795 of the family's 1533-position model. The record is from RNAcentral.